UUGAACGCUGGCGGCAGGCCUAACACAUGCCAGUCGAGCGGAUGAAGGGAGCUUGCUCCUGGAUUCAGCGGCGGACGGGUGAGUAAUGCCUAGGAAUCUGCCUGGUAGUGGGGGAUAACGUCCGGAAACGGGCGCUAAUACCGCAUACGUCCUGAGGGAGAAAGUGGGGGAUCUUCGGACCCCACGCUAUCAGAUGAGCCUAGGUCGGAUUAGCUAGUUGGUGGGGUAAAGGCCUACCAAGGCGACGAUCCGUAACUGGUCUGAGAGGAUGAUCAGUCACACUGGAACUGAGACACGGUCCAGACUCCUACGGGAGGCAGCAGUGGGGAAUAUUGGACAAUGGGCGAAAGCCUGAUCCAGCCAUGCCGCGUGUGUGAAGAAGGUCUUCGGAUUGUAAAGCACUUUAAGUUGGGAGGAAGGGCAGUAAGUUAAUACCUUGCUGUUUUGACGUUACCAACAGAAUAAGCACCGGCUAACUUCGUG
This 483-nucleotide ribosomal RNA is filed under the name uncultured bacterium. Its description in RNAcentral is "partial 16S ribosomal RNA". It matches the Rfam family "Bacterial small subunit ribosomal RNA", at positions 30 to 507 of the family's 1533-position model. The record is from RNAcentral.